RNAcentral lists this transfer RNA (71 nucleotides) under Pangasianodon gigas (Mekong giant catfish). RNAcentral describes it as "tRNA-Glu". The record is from RNAcentral. Lineage: Eukaryota; Metazoa; Chordata; Actinopteri; Siluriformes; Pangasiidae.
UCCCUGAGGACUAGUGGUUAGGCCUUGGCGCUCUCACUGCCGCGGCCCAGGUUCGAUUCCUGGCCAGGAAA